Molecule: long non-coding RNA, 1412 nt
Filed under: Salmo salar (Atlantic salmon)
Lineage: Eukaryota; Metazoa; Chordata; Actinopteri; Salmoniformes; Salmonidae
Description: lncRNA (ENSSSAG00000098122.1)
Source: RNAcentral
AAGAGGGGAGAGGGGAGAUGUAGAAGAGGGGAGGAAGGUGAGAGGGGAGGGGAUAGAUGGAGGAAGGGGAGGGGAGAGGGGAGAUGUAGAAGAGGGGAGGAAGGUGAGGGGGGAGGGGAUAGACGUAGAAGAGGGGAGGAAGGAGAGGGGAGAGGGGAGAUGAGGAAAAAAGGAGGAAAGUGGAGGAGAAGAAGAACAACAAGAUAACUAGGUAAUACACUACAUUCUAUUACCCUGGUCAAAAGUAGUGCACUAUAUAGUGAAUUGGGUGCCUUGGGUCCUGGUAAAAAGUAGUGCACUAUAACUACACACAAUAACUAUCUAUGACUGAAUUAAUUAAUUGUAUAUGACACAUGUAAAAUGCAUAUAUAAUUGCCUAUGAAGAUGGACUAUAACAAAACCCACAUUAAAAUCUAGUGAUGAUAAAAAACACAUUAAAAUGUAGUGAGGAUAAAAAAUCCCAGUUAGUCAACAUAGUGAUAUCCAUCACAGUUAGUCAACAUAGUGAUAUCCAUCCCAGUUAGUCAACAUAGUGAUAUCCAUCACAGUUAGUCAACAUAGUGAUAUCCAUCACAGUUAGUCAACAUAGUGAUAUCCAUCACAGUUAGUCAACAUAGUGAUAUCCAUCCCAGAGAUUCCGAGGGGAAGUCAACCUGAACAUGUACAAACAGUUAGUCAACAUAGUGGUGAUAUCCAUCCCAGUUAGUCAACAUAGUGAUAUCCAUCCCAGUUAGUCAACAUGGUGAUAUCCAUCCCAGUUAGUCAACAUAGUGAAAUCCAUCCUGGAGAUGCCGUGGGGAAGUCAACCUGAACAUGUACAAACAGUUAGUCAACAUAGUGUUAUCCAUCCCAGUUAGUCAACAUAGUGAUAUCCAUCCCAGUUAGUCAACAUAGUGAUAUCCAUCCCGGAGAUGCCUGGGGAAGUCAUCCUGAACAUUGACAAACAGUUAGUCAACAUAGUGAUGAUAUCCAUCCCAGAGAUUCCGAGGGGAAGUCAACCUGAACAUGUACAAACACAGUUAGUCAACAACUUACAUUGGUGCAUCUUACAUUUACAUUUACAUUUAAGUCAUUUAGCAGACGCUCUUAUCCAGAGCGACUUACAAAAUGGUGCAUUCACCUUAUGAUAUCCAGUGGAACAACCACUUUACAAUAGUGCAUCUAAAUAUUUUAACGGGGGGGGGGGUGUUAGAAGCCUAUCCUAGGUAUCCUAGGUAUUCCUUAAAGAGGUGGGGUUUCAGGUGUCUCCGGAAGGUGGUGAUUGACUCCGCUGUCCUGGCGUCGUGAGGGAGCUUGUUCCACCAUUGGGGUGCCAGAGCAGCGAACAGUUUUGACUGGGCUGAGCGGGAACUGUGCUUCCUCAGAGGUAGGGGGGCCAGCAGGCCAGUGGUGGAUGAACGCAGUGCCCUUGU